Long non-coding RNA from Prionailurus viverrinus (fishing cat), 358 nucleotides. RefSeq lists it as uncharacterized. The transcript has 3 exons. The record is from RefSeq and is a predicted model, not a curated record. NCBI's taxonomy places the organism in Eukaryota, Metazoa, Chordata, Mammalia, Carnivora, Felidae.
CUUGGUGCCUUUAAGGGACUGAGGACAGAAAUACGAGAAUGUCCCGAAGGAGCAGCCAAUGAACAGUGACAGAGUGCCUUCCUUUGGCCUGGACCUGACCCCACACACCAUGAGCACACUGCUGUGUUCAGCAAGAGGAGUUUCGAUUUGAAGUGGUUUGUCUUGGAAGCUUCCGGGAGAGGAUUUAUUGAACCAACUUAUGAGAACCUCCCAGCCUUCUGAUUGGUGCCCUGAGCAAUAAAGACAAAUAACGAAAGCUUCAAGCUCUGAAAUGAGGAACGUGAGAAGAAAACCAAGUGAUCAUGGAGAUUUUGGAUAUUGCUAGGCUGAGGAGCCAUCACUAUUUCUCAACUUUAAG